This 492-nucleotide ribosomal RNA is filed under the name uncultured bacterium. RNAcentral's name for it is "partial 16S ribosomal RNA". It matches the Rfam family "Bacterial small subunit ribosomal RNA", at positions 29 to 507 of the family's 1533-position model. The record is from RNAcentral.
AGUGAACGCUGGCGGUAGGCCUAACACAUGCAAGUCGAACGGCAGCACAGUAAGAGCUUGCUCUUACGGGUGGCGAGUGGCGGACGGGUGAGGAAUACAUCGGAAUCUACUUUUUCGUGGGGGUUAACGUAGGGAAACUUACUCUAAUACCGCAUACGACCUACGGGUGAAAGCAUGGGAUCUUCGGACCUUGCGCGAUUGAAUUAGCCGAUGUCGGAUUAGCUAGUUGGCGGGGUAAAGGCCCACCAAGGCGACGAUCCGUAGCUGGUCUGAGAGGAAGAUCAGGCACACUGGAACUGGAACACGGUACAGACUCCUACGGGAGGCAGCAGUGGGGAAUAUUGGACAAUGGGCGCAAGCCGGAUCCAGCCAUACCGCGUGGGUGAAGAAGGCCUUCGGGUUGUAAAGCCCUUUUGUUGGGAAAGAAAAGCAGCAGGUUAAUACCCCGCUGUUCUGACGGUACCCAAAGAAUAAGCACCGGCUAACUUCGUG